RNAcentral lists this long non-coding RNA (1701 nucleotides) under Nicotiana tabacum (common tobacco). Its description in RNAcentral is "long non-coding RNA (NTAB_LNC003091)". The record is from RNAcentral. Lineage: Eukaryota; Viridiplantae; Streptophyta; Magnoliopsida; Solanales; Solanaceae.
CUGCUUCUUAGUGCUCGGAUACUUCUCGAGUGGGCAUUUUCUUCACAUUAUCGCCUCCAAAACACUCCAUGUUGAUUCCUCUCAUAUAAUAUUCCCUGCGAAACAAAAGAACACUAUUCAGAGUCUUUUGUUGGCAAUUUAUCUAUAAAACACCAACAAAGUACGGUCAUAUUAAGGUGUAAAUAUCAACUAUAUAGCCUACUAUCAGUGUUCAUGGAAGUACAACGAGGACUGAACUCACAAAUGUUUAACUUAAAUGACUUAAAAUUUGACACUUCUCAAAAUAAUAGAUAAAAAUAGUCCGAUGAUUUGAAUUGAUGUUAUGUAUAUGGAAAAGAAUACAAGAUGAACUGAAUAAUGGAGAUCUAUCUAAAACUACGUAGAACACUGAUUGAAAGGUUUUGUUAAAGAAUGCAUACUAAUACUACUACUAAAAACAAUAAAACCAAAAAAAAAAAAAAAUAAUCAACAGUAACCAUCAAAAUGAUUUUGUUCUAGAGCACCAACAAUGCUGAUAAUAUUUUUCAUCAAGUUAUAAAAUAAUAGUAUCCAAGAACUUUCAUUAUUCAGUUCAUUUGAGUAUAUGGCAAUCUCUCUCUCUCUCUCAUGGGUACGUAAAUUGAAAUACUAAGGAAUGACUUGAAUCACAAUUCUACGAAUCUAAUUAGUAGAUAUAUUAAAUAAAUAAUGGUGAAUUAGGGCAUCAAUUUAACCUCGAAUUAAGCUAGUCAAGAAUCUUGCUAACCCUUUCUUGAACAAUACAUUUAUCAACAGUACCCUGCAUUGCAUGUAUUCUCCAUAUUUUCUAGUUAAGUCGGCUGUUAAUAGUAAGAGUCUCUGAUCUCGGUCAAUCAUCACCUCACGAGUUACCUUGCAUUUGAAUAAUUUCUUAACAUUGAACUCUUCAACUUGUCUUGAUACUGAUAAGCUUUUUCUCGCUCUCUAACUUUCUCUCUCGACGCAUUAUAGCGUGUUGGGCAUCCUACGCCUUGGCCGGAAAUGGGGAGGGGGAGGGGAAAACAUGGGCGAAUUUGUUUUCCAGUAAUAAGAUGGCGGCCAAAGGUAUGAAUCUGAAAUUUGUUGCUCCUACUAUCAGAGAUGGAACUUAAAUUGUUCAAUUAGAAAAAGAGGAUGUUGAACGAGAUAAUGAGAAAUGGAGACAAGCAAUUAUUUUGUAUGCUGUGGGAGAUUCUCCAAUCAUUGGAGCAGUGGAAAGGUUCAUCGCAAGUCAACGGGGAUUCACUGUUAAACCACGCGUAAUCUGAAUCCGAGAACAUCGAAUUCAACUCACGGUCAAACCUAUGAACUUUCCAAACCUUCAAAUUGUUAGGACCCGGUAGCACUAAACACUACUGCACAGCGGAAUAAAAUAAAUGAUCAAUGAAACCAAAAAUAAAUGACACAAUAUUUAACGUGGUUCACCUAAAACGUUUAGGCUACGUCCACAAAUCCGACACCAACUUCCACUAAAACAUUUAGCAGGCAUACAAAGAGAGACUUCCCCAAUAAUUUGGAGGUACAACAAUUCCUGAGCUCUACCCAAAAUAGUGGCGCACACAAAAGUGUUUCCCGAAAAAUACCCGACUAGUAUUUCUACUCACUAUUUUGUCACUCCCCUGUUAGGAAACAUUCCUAAAGGAACUAUAUCUCUCUCCCUCUCAAACUCUUUCUUCUUGAGUUUUGAUAUAUUUUUUUUGGUGU